CCUUCUUCCCAUCCAUUUCACAGCCCACCAGACAGUCGUGAAGCUCUGUCAUGCAUGUGACUGAGGCUGGCAUCACCUCUUGACGAAUGCUUCCCAGAGAGUUUGCUGACAGCCCAGCGUGCUGACUCCAAUCAACAUGACCCCUUGCUCGCCUGACUCAGGAUUCCCCAAUCAGAAGCGGUGUCUGCCCUGGA
This 194-nucleotide long non-coding RNA is filed under the name Dasypus novemcinctus (nine-banded armadillo). RNAcentral's name for it is "lncRNA (ENSDNOG00000052653.1)". The record is from RNAcentral. Lineage: Eukaryota; Metazoa; Chordata; Mammalia; Cingulata; Dasypodidae.